UGGCGGCAUGCCUAACACAUGCAAGUCGAACGAGAUCUUCGGAUCUAGUGGCGCACGGGUGAGUAACGCGUGGGAACCUACCUUUCAGAAUGGGACAACGUUUGGAAACGAACGCUAAUACCGUAUACGCCCUCCGGGGGAAAGGUCAGCCGCUGAAAGAGGGGCCCGCGUCUGAUUAGCUUGUUGGUAGGGUAAUGGCCUACCAAGGCUACGAUCAGUAGCUGGUCUGAGAGGAUGAUCAGCCACACUGGGACUGAGACACGGCCCAGACUCCUACGGGAGGCAGCAGUGGGGAAUAUUGGACAAUGGAGGCAACUCUGAUCCAGCAAUGCCGCGUGUGUGAUGAAGGCCCUAGGGUUGUAAAGCACUUUCAACGGUGAAGAUGAUGACGGUAGCCGUAGAAGAAGCCCCGGCUAACUUCGUGCCAGCAGCCGCGGUAAUACGAAGGGGGCGAGCGUUAUUCGGAAUUAUUGGGCGUAAAGGGCUCGCAGGCUGCUUGAACAGUUAGACGUGAAAUCCCCGGGCUCAACCUGGGAACUGCGUUUAAUACUAGCAAGCUAGAGAAAUAGAGAGGAAAGUGGAACUCCCAGUGUAGAGGUGAAAUUCGUAGAUAUUGGGAAGAACACCAGUGGCGAAAGCGACUUUCUGGCUAUUUUCUGACGCUGAGGAGCGAAAGCGUGGGGAGCAAACAGGAUUAGGUACCCUGGUAGUCCACGCCGUAACGAUGUGUGCUAGAUGUUGGAAGGUUUCCUUUCAGUGUCGCAGCUAACGCACUAAGCACACCGCCUGGGAAGUACGGUCGC
This 803-nucleotide ribosomal RNA is filed under the name uncultured marine bacterium. RNAcentral describes it as "bacterial SSU rRNA". It matches the Rfam family "Bacterial small subunit ribosomal RNA", at positions 37 to 889 of the family's 1533-position model. The record is from RNAcentral.